This 497-nucleotide ribosomal RNA is filed under the name uncultured bacterium. RNAcentral describes it as "partial 16S ribosomal RNA". It matches the Rfam family "Bacterial small subunit ribosomal RNA", at positions 28 to 507 of the family's 1533-position model. The record is from RNAcentral.
GAUGAACGCUGGCGGCGUGCCUAAUACAUGCAAGUCGAGCGAACGGACGAGAAGCUUGCUUCUCUGAUGUUAGCGGCGGACGGGUGAGUAACACGUGGAUAACCUACCUAUAAGACUGGGAUAACUUCGGGAAACCGGAGCUAAUACCGGAUGAUAUUUUGAACCGCAUGGUUCAAAAGUGAAAGACGGUCUUGCUGUCACUUAUAGAUGGGUCCGCGCUGCAUUAGCUAGUUGGUAAGGUAACGGCUUACCAAGGCAACGAUGCAUAGCCGACCUGAGAGGGUGAUCGGCCACACUGGAACUGAGACACGGUCCAGACUCCUACGGGAGGCAGCAGUAGGGAAUCUUCCGCAAUGGGCGAAGGCCUGACGGAGCAACGCCGCGUGAGUGAUGAAGGUCUUCGGAUCGUAAAACUCUGUUAUUAGGGAAGAACAUAUGUGUAAGUAACUGUGCACAUCUUGACGGUACCUAAUCAGAAAGCCACGGCUAACUACGUG